RNAcentral lists this unclassified non-coding RNA (246 nucleotides) under Hevea brasiliensis (rubber tree). The record is from RNAcentral. Lineage: Eukaryota; Viridiplantae; Streptophyta; Magnoliopsida; Malpighiales; Euphorbiaceae.
AACCUGAUUAAAAAUAAUUUAACAGCAUUAUCCAGAAACCAACAGGUUUCGUAGAGCAUUCAUGCUUUAACAAAAGCAACUUAUUCAGAAUGAAGAGCAACUCCAACCGCUAAAAGUUACAAUAACCAAGUUGCAUAACAUCCAUAAACAAUUAACGCUUCCCAAAUAACCUGGGAGCACAAAGCAUGAUAUGCAACAACUCUUCGGCAUUAUCUCAUUGAAUUCCAAAAUUUAAAAAAAAAAAAA